This 112-nucleotide transfer RNA is filed under the name Flavimaribacter sediminis. RNAcentral describes it as "tRNA-OTHER". It matches the Rfam family "tRNA". Rfam says of the family: Transfer RNA (tRNA) molecules are approximately 80 nucleotides in length. Lineage: Bacteria; Pseudomonadati; Pseudomonadota; Alphaproteobacteria; Hyphomicrobiales; Rhizobiaceae. The record is from RNAcentral.
GGUGGCGUAGCUCAACCGGAUAGAGCGCCUUGCUUGCUGGUAUUCUUGUUAUCCUAGCAGAAGACAAAAUACGGCAGGGUAGAUGCAGGUUCAAGUCCUGUCGUCACCUCCA